Molecule: long non-coding RNA, 441 nt
Organism: Tyto alba (common barn owl)
Lineage: Eukaryota; Metazoa; Chordata; Aves; Strigiformes; Tytonidae
Exons: 3
Source: RefSeq, a predicted model, not a curated record
GCCUCGGAGAAAAGCUACCUCUCGUUACUGCAGAGUCCAGGGUGAAUAAAUCACCUUUUCCCACCUCCGAGGAGCUGGGAUGAAACUGCAGCCCGGCGGCGGAGUGGGGUGCUGGUGGUGACCGUACGCACCCGGGGAUGAGCCAAAGCCCAUUAGGAAACGACUCAUCGGCUUAACGACCUUUGGACGGGGCCCUGGGGAAUCCGUCCUCACCACCACGGCGAUGGGUGCUGCCUAACGAGCGACCACGAUGCGCAUCUCUCACCGGGCAGGAUUUUCCCAGCUGUUGACCAAACGGUUUCGCUGGGUUCUGGAAUCACUCGGCUCUUUCCAUCAUCACCACCCGCCAGCAAGGGUGCUGUGCGCCUCAAAACCAGCAAAUUACCCAGAUCUGGGAGAAACCUGCUCUGGGUCGGCUUCUGCCCCUAAUAAUCACCUCGU